Ruditapes philippinarum (Manila clam) is the source of this 465-nucleotide long non-coding RNA. RefSeq lists it as uncharacterized. The record is from RefSeq and is a predicted model, not a curated record. Lineage: Eukaryota; Metazoa; Mollusca; Bivalvia; Venerida; Veneridae. The transcript is spliced from 3 exons.
UUAAGUAUUUUGUGUUCUGUCUUUCUUUAUUUCAGAUGUGGACGAGUGCUCUACUGGGUUGUUACUAUGUGAUUAUAAAUGUAUAAAUACAGAUGGUGGGGCAUACUGCGCGUGUAAAAAGGGAUACGAAAUCAGUGAAAACAACAUCACCUGUACAGAUAUAAAUGAAUGUGAGAUUUCUCAUCUGAAUGAAUGUCUUGAAACAUGCAUCAACACUGUUGGAUCAUACAGAUGUGAUUGUUUCCUUGGACACGCUUUGGUGGGAUAUAACAAAUGUGCACCAUGUCCGGAAAACUUUUACCGGGAUGAAAACAGUGCAGAAUGUGUUGCGUGCCCAUUUAAUUCUAUAACGCAAGGAAAAGGAAGAACACGAAUAGAGGACUGCAAGUGUAUUGAGGGUUACCAUGGCAAUGUCACACUUGGUGAAGACUGUCUGGAACAAUAGUUUUAUUAUUAUCUUUUCUU